RNAcentral lists this transfer RNA (64 nucleotides) under Canthesancus helluo. Its description in RNAcentral is "tRNA-Glu". It matches the Rfam family "tRNA". From Rfam's summary of the family: Transfer RNA (tRNA) molecules are approximately 80 nucleotides in length. Their secondary structure includes four short double-helical elements and three loops (D, anti-codon, and T loops). Further hydrogen bonds mediate the characteristic L-shaped molecular structure. tRNAs have two regions of fundamental functional importance: the anti-codon, which is responsible for specific mRNA codon recognition, and the 3' end, to which the tRNAs corresponding amino acid is attached (by aminoacyl-tRNA synthetases). tRNAs cope with the degeneracy of the genetic code in two manners: having more than one tRNA (with a specific anti-codon) for a particular amino acid; and 'wobble' base-pairing, i.e. permitting non-standard base-pairing at the 3rd anti-codon position. Lineage: Eukaryota; Metazoa; Arthropoda; Insecta; Hemiptera; Reduviidae. The record is from RNAcentral.
AUUCAUAUAGUUUAAUUAAAACACUUCAUUUUCAAUGAAGAAAUAAUUUCUUAAUUUAUGAAUA